Molecule: ribosomal RNA, 222 nt
Filed under: uncultured bacterium
Lineage: Bacteria
Description: partial 16S ribosomal RNA
Rfam family: Bacterial small subunit ribosomal RNA
Source: RNAcentral
UACGUAGGGUGCGAGCGUUAAUCGGAAUUACUGGGCGUAAAGCGUGCGCAGGCGGCUUUGCAAGACAGAUGUGAAAUCCCCGGGCUCAACCUGGGAACUGCAUUUGUGACUGCAAGGCUAGAGUACGGCAGAGGGGGAUGGAAUUCCGCGUGUAGCAGUGAAAUGCGUAGAUAUGCGGAGGAACACCCAUGGCGAAGGCAAUCCCCUGGGCCCGUAAUUACG